Molecule: ribosomal RNA, 407 nt
Filed under: uncultured bacterium
Lineage: Bacteria
Description: partial 16S ribosomal RNA
Rfam family: Bacterial small subunit ribosomal RNA
Source: RNAcentral
GACGAACGCUGGCGGCGUGCAUAAUACAUGCACGUAGAACGCAGUUGCGAACGUGUACGUAACGCGUCGGUAACUGCCUCAUAGCGGGGGAUAAAAAUUGGAACCGAUAGCUAAUACCGCCUACUGUGAAAUGGACUGGCGUGGUAUUGGCUAUUUGGUGCGGUAAAGGCUCACCAAGGCGACGAUUCAUAGCCGACCUGAGAGGGUGACCGGCCACACUGCGACUGGGCCACGGCCCGGACUCUUACGGGACGCAGCAGGAGGGAAACUUCGGCAAUGGACGGAAGCCUGAUCGAGCCACGCCGCGUGAGUGAAGAAGGUUUUCGGAUCGUAAAGCUCUGUUGUUAGAGAAGCUGUAACUAACCAGAAAGGAACGGCUAACUACGUGUCAGCAGCCGCGGUAAUAC